GCUGUUGUAGCUCAGUGGUAGAGCACUCCCUUGGUAAGGGAGAGGUCCAGGGUUCGAAUCCCUGCAACAGCACCA
Molecule: transfer RNA, 75 nt
Filed under: Janthinobacterium lividum
Lineage: Bacteria; Pseudomonadati; Pseudomonadota; Betaproteobacteria; Burkholderiales; Oxalobacteraceae
Also listed under: 3 other names
Description: tRNA-Thr
Rfam family: tRNA
About the family: Transfer RNA (tRNA) molecules are approximately 80 nucleotides in length. Their secondary structure includes four short double-helical elements and three loops (D, anti-codon, and T loops). Further hydrogen bonds mediate the characteristic L-shaped molecular structure. tRNAs have two regions of fundamental functional importance: the anti-codon, which is responsible for specific mRNA codon recognition, and the 3' end, to which the tRNAs corresponding amino acid is attached (by aminoacyl-tRNA synthetases). tRNAs cope with the degeneracy of the genetic code in two manners: having more than one tRNA (with a specific anti-codon) for a particular amino acid; and 'wobble' base-pairing, i.e. permitting non-standard base-pairing at the 3rd anti-codon position.
Source: RNAcentral